UACGAAGGGGGCUAGCGUUGCUCGGAAUCACUGGGCGUAAAGGGUGCGUAGGCGGAUUUCUAAGUCAGGGGUGAAAGCCUGAGGCUCAACCUCAGAACUGCCUUUGAUACUGGAAGUCUUGAGACCGGAAGAGGUAAGUGGAACUGCGAGUGUAGAGGUGAAAUUCGUAGAUAUUCGCAAGAACACCAGUGGCGAAGGCGGCUUAUUGGUCCGGUUCUGACGCUGAGGCACGAAAGCGUGGGGGAGCAAACAGG
Molecule: ribosomal RNA, 254 nt
Filed under: uncultured bacterium
Lineage: Bacteria
Description: partial 16S ribosomal RNA
Rfam family: Bacterial small subunit ribosomal RNA
Source: RNAcentral